Molecule: microRNA precursor, 190 nt
Filed under: Oryza brachyantha (malo sina)
Lineage: Eukaryota; Viridiplantae; Streptophyta; Magnoliopsida; Poales; Poaceae
Description: MIR812 microRNA precursor family
Rfam family: MIR812 microRNA precursor family
Source: Rfam by way of RNAcentral
AAUAAGAUCAUUUUUUAGUUUUUUGAUACAAUAUUUUUGACUCUUCGUCUUAUUUGAAAAUUUUUUGCGAUUAAUAUUUUUAUUCUUACUCGAUGAUAAAACAUAAAUGGUAUUUUAUACGUGACUAUUUUUUAAAUUUUUUUAUAAAUUUUUUAAAUAAGAUGAACGGUCAAACGUUGGAUACAGAAAA